UACGUAGGAGGCUAGCGUUAUCCGGAUUUAUUGGGCGUAAAGCGGGCGCAGGUGGCCUUUCAAGUCUGGUGUGAAAUCUCCUGGCUUAACUGGGAGGGUGCACCGGAUACUGUUGGGCUGGAGUGCAGCAGAGGGAAGCGGAAUUCCCGGUGUAGUGGUGAAAUGCGUAGAUAUCGGGAGGAACACUAGUGGCGAAGGCGGCUUCCUGGGAUGUAACUGACACUGAGGCCCGAAGGCGUGGGGAG
This 245-nucleotide ribosomal RNA is filed under the name uncultured bacterium. RNAcentral's name for it is "partial 16S ribosomal RNA". It matches the Rfam family "Bacterial small subunit ribosomal RNA", at positions 524 to 768 of the family's 1533-position model. The record is from RNAcentral.